UGAGCGGCAAAAGCUCAAAUUUGAAAUCCUUCGGGAGUUGUAAUUUGUAGGUUGGGAGACCCCGCGGCUAGUGGCACCAAGUCCCUUGGAACAGGGCGCCUUAGAGGGUGAGAGCCCCGUAGGUACCACAACACCGUCUUGUGUCUCCUCUCCAAAGAGUCGAGUUGUUUGGGAAUGCAGCUCAAAGUGGGGUGGUAAAUUCCAUCUAAAGCUAAAUACCGGCGAGAGACCGAUAGCRAMAAGUACAGUGAUGGAAAGAUGAAAGCAC
RNAcentral lists this ribosomal RNA (268 nucleotides) under [Candida] sp. Its description in RNAcentral is "Candida sp. (in: Saccharomycetales) partial large subunit ribosomal RNA". Lineage: Eukaryota; Fungi; Ascomycota; Saccharomycetes; Saccharomycetales. The record is from RNAcentral.